This 397-nucleotide ribosomal RNA is filed under the name uncultured bacterium. RNAcentral describes it as "bacterial SSU rRNA". It matches the Rfam family "Bacterial small subunit ribosomal RNA", at positions 358 to 772 of the family's 1533-position model. The record is from RNAcentral.
GGAAUCUUAGACAAUGGGCGCAAGCCUGAUCUAGCCAUGCCGCGUGAGUGAUGAAGGCCUUAGGGUCGUAAAGCUCUUUCGCCAGAGAUGAUAAUGACAGUAUCUGGUAAAGAAACCCCGGCUAACUCCGUGCCAGCAGCCGCGGUAAUACGGAGGGGGUUAGCGUUGUUCGGAAUUACUGGGCGUAAAGCGCGCGUAGGCGGAUUGUUAAGUCGGGGGUGAAAUCCCGGGGCUCAACCCCGGAACUGCCUUCGAUACUGGCAGUCUAGAGGUCGAGAGAGGUGAGUGGAAUUCCGAGUGUAGAGGUGAAAUUCGUAGAUAUUCGGAGGAACACCAGUGGCGAAGGCGGCUCACUGGCUCGAUACUGACGCUGAGGUGCGAAAGCGUGGGGAGCAAA